CGCGGAGUGGAGCAGUUGGUAGCUCGUCGGGCUCAUAACCCGAAGGUCAUAGGUUCGAAUCCUGUCUCCGCAACCA
This 76-nucleotide transfer RNA is filed under the name Mycoplasma sp. 1578d. RNAcentral describes it as "tRNA-Met". It matches the Rfam family "tRNA". Rfam says of the family: Transfer RNA (tRNA) molecules are approximately 80 nucleotides in length. Their secondary structure includes four short double-helical elements and three loops (D, anti-codon, and T loops). Further hydrogen bonds mediate the characteristic L-shaped molecular structure. tRNAs have two regions of fundamental functional importance: the anti-codon, which is responsible for specific mRNA codon recognition, and the 3' end, to which the tRNAs corresponding amino acid is attached (by aminoacyl-tRNA synthetases). tRNAs cope with the degeneracy of the genetic code in two manners: having more than one tRNA (with a specific anti-codon) for a particular amino acid; and 'wobble' base-pairing, i.e. permitting non-standard base-pairing at the 3rd anti-codon position. Lineage: Bacteria; Bacillati; Mycoplasmatota; Mollicutes; Mycoplasmatales; Mycoplasmataceae. The record is from RNAcentral. RNAcentral also lists the same sequence under 3 other names.